Molecule: small RNA, 180 nt
Filed under: Nocardia sp.
Lineage: Bacteria; Bacillati; Actinomycetota; Actinomycetes; Mycobacteriales; Nocardiaceae
Description: Magnesium sequence
Rfam family: M-box riboswitch aptamer (ykoK leader)
About the family: M-box riboswitch, also know as ykoK leader is described as a metaloregulatory RNA that sense divalent metals and function as a genetic control element of genes related to divalent metal transport in bacteria. It was first reported upstream of the B.subtilis ykoK gene and genes with related functions in other bacteria. Phylogenetic analysis of the distribution of M-box RNAs across bacterial genomes revealed that M-box riboswitches are most often employed for the regulation of Mg2+ transporter genes
Source: RNAcentral
AGGUGCCGUCGUUCGCUGAGGCUCCUUCACGGAUACAGGCCAGCGACCCCGAACGUCGAGAGACGCCCCGGGUCAGGACAGGCUUCCCCGGCUUAAGGGGUGGCCCCGAUUGGCUCCCGCCACAGUGGGUGGACGGGUUCACGCCGUGGAGUGCCAAAGGUCUAACGAGGAGUGGUACCG